Diceros bicornis minor is the source of this 472-nucleotide long non-coding RNA. RefSeq lists it as uncharacterized. Lineage: Eukaryota; Metazoa; Chordata; Mammalia; Perissodactyla; Rhinocerotidae. The transcript is spliced from 3 exons. The record is from RefSeq and is a predicted model, not a curated record.
UCCUCUGGCAGGCGGAGGAGGGUCUGUCUCCUCCUGCCCGGUUAGCUUCCGUCCUCCAUUUUCCCCGAUUUUGUCUCUCCACUUCCCGUAGGUGAUGGAUGGUUAAAGACGUCUCUGCAGCCCCCAGAGCGCGGAGCCGGGGCUGGGGAGACCCCCUGAGGCGGGAGUUUCGCUGGCUGGAGGAGACUCCCGUUAUUCUGAAAAAUGUUUCCCAGCAGGAGAGGUGGGGCGGGUGCAGACGGAGACCUCCGGGACUGGCUGCCUCUCUGUCUGGCCCCGGGGAGGCAGCAGGAUGCAGAGGAGCCCGGAGAAGACCACUGACCCGUGCUGGCUGUGUGGCCUCAGGCUCGCCGGUGGCCUGCUCUGAACUCAGCUGCAAAGGAAAUCCACCAAAAGGCAAGAAUGUUCAUAGCAGCUUUCUUCAUAGUAGCCCCAAACUAGAAAGAGCCUAAAUGUCCAUCAGCAGUAGAAU